This 854-nucleotide long non-coding RNA is filed under the name Equus asinus (donkey). Its description in RNAcentral is "lncRNA (ENSEASG00005031842.1)". Lineage: Eukaryota; Metazoa; Chordata; Mammalia; Perissodactyla; Equidae. The record is from RNAcentral.
CUAGACUACACUGGCUGCCCCCCGCCCCCCGACUUUUUGUACCCUCCUCAGUCCUCGGUAACCAGGCUUCCAGCCAGUCCACUCAAAGUGCUCCGGCAGUGGUCACCAACGACCCAAUGCCCAGGGCAGUGGCCUUCCUUCCAUCCCCAUACUGCGUGACCUCCUGGCCCCAUACCAUACCACUCACCACCGUUCCCUGCUCCCUCGAUGAGACUGGUCUCUGGACGUCUUCCCCACGGGCCCUCCUCUGACCUCAGACGGCUCUUUCCCGUUCACUCCUGCUCCAGCUGCCAUUGUUGUUCCACAUUCUGUCUUAAGCCUUCACGUCGUCUUUCAUCUGCACUCUUCCUGGACGUUCUUUUGUACAUCCACAGCCUCUGCCACCCGUAUACAGUGACGAAUCCCCAGAGCUCUCCUGUUCUCAGCCCAGACUCACCUUUGUUUCCACCCAGACGUCCUGCAGAACCUCCAGACCCGUGUGUCCAGAAUCACAUCCGUUAGCUUCCCUCUUCCUGGCCACCAUCGUCCCCUGUUCGUUUCCUAUUCCUGCUGUGUCAGAUCGCCACAGACGUGGUGGACUACAACGGCACGAAUGUAUCAUCGUACAGUCAUGGAGGGCGGAAGUCCAAAACGAGUCUUCUGGGGCUAAAUUCCAGGUGUUGGCCUGACUGGUUCCUUCCAGAAGGUCUGGGGGAGAAUCUGCCCCUUGCCUUCUUCUGGACGCUGUUUGCAUUCCUUGGCUUCUGGCCCCACAGCCUUUCCUCCGUGUGCUGUCACUGUCACGUCACCUUCUCCAGACUCCACUCUCCUGCCUCCCUCUUAUAAGGCCCCUUGUGGUUGCAUUUAGGGCCCAC